Molecule: ribosomal RNA, 256 nt
Filed under: uncultured bacterium
Lineage: Bacteria
Description: partial 16S ribosomal RNA
Rfam family: Bacterial small subunit ribosomal RNA
Source: RNAcentral
UACAGAGGUCUCAAGCGUUGUUCGGAUUCAUUGGGCGUAAAGGGUGUGUAGGUGGCGCGCUAAGUCGGGUGUGAAAUUUCGGAGCUUAACUCCGAAACUGCAUUCGAUACUGGCGUGCUUGAGGACUGGAGAGGAGACUGGAAUUCAUGGUGUAGCAGUGAAAUGCGUAGAGAUCAUGAGGAAGACCAGUGGCGAAGGCGGGGUCUCUGGACAGUUCCUGACACUGAGACACGAAAGGCCAGGGGAGCAAAACGGG